UGAGGUUUCAAUUAUUGGUGACACAGCAAAUCUAUUAAGAAAAAUUGGGGGAAAACUAACAAAACUAGGUAAGGUCUAGCUUGACCUUCCUCUAAUUAAAAUGUGGUCAUUAAAGUAAUAUUUAAAUAGUAAGACAUUAACCCAGUCUCAUUCAUGAAUAAAAAGUAAAUAGGAAAUGAAAGGAAAAAGUCAAGAAUGCUCACUCUCACAGGAAUUCAACACUGAAUCGGAGAUACCAGCCAGGACAAUGAGAAGGCUAAGGAAAAUAGUAUUAUAAGACUGGAAUACCAGAAAUGAAAAUCUGGAAUACCAGAAAUGAAAAUGUACAGCAUAAACACAAAAUAAUUUACAAAUUACUGGCUGAAAAAUAUGUAAUUAUAGCUAGAUAUAAGAUCACUACACAAAAAUGAACUAUAUUUCGAUACUAGAAACUCAGUUGUACAUUUUUAAACAAAAUUUACAAAAGCAGCAUCACAAAAAAUGUCCAAGAUGUGGGUGAAAAACGAUUCAAUUUAUUGAAAGACAAGAUGUCAAUAAAUGGAGAGACAUACCAUGUUCAUAGAUGUCGUAAGAUGUGACAGUAAAAAGAUGUCAAUUCCCCUCAAAUUCAUCUGUAGACUCAACAUUUCUAAACAAAAUGCAAACAGGACUUUUCAUUAAACUUGAUAAAAUGAUUCUAAAAUAUAAUUGAAAUAGUAAAUGGUCAAGGAUAACUAAAAACAUUCUUUUAAAAAAGGUGUAAAGGAUGUGCCUUAUUAGAUAUCAAAACUAAGAAUAUGGGCUUAGCAACUGAAACAACAUGGUCUCAUCAGAGUAGCCAAACUUAUCAUUGGAACAGAACAGAGAACCUAGAAACAGACCAGAAAUAUGAAAACGUAAUAAGUGACAGAGAUGGCACUGCAGAUCAUUUGAGAAUAGAGAAUCUAUUCAGUAAAUGAUAGAGUGAAAAAUAUUAUUUAUAGAGAAGAAAAUGAAAUUCGAUCCCUACCUCACACCAUACACGAAAAUAAAUUCCAAGUGGAAUACAAACUUAAAUGUGAGAUGACCAUUUAAAGAUGUAUUAAAAACAAAAACAAAAACAAAAAAUUUUUUUUUAAAUAAUAAAAUUUUUUUAAAAAAUGGAGUUCCCAUCAUGGCUCAGUGGUUAACGAAUACAACUAGGAACCAUGAGGUUGCAGGUUCCAUCCCUGGCCUUGUUCAGUGGGUUAAGGAUCUGGUGUUGCCAUGAGCUGUGUGGUGUAGGUCGCAGACAUGGCUUGGAUCCGGCAUUGCUGUGGCUGUGGUGUAGGCCGGAAGCUACAGCUCUGAUUGGACCCCUAGCCUGGGAAUCUCCAUAUGCCGUGGGUGCAGGCCUAAAAAGACAAAAAUAAAUAAAUAAAAAUAAAGAAAUUCUCCAGAUUAGAGUCUGUUUCCAGGGGGAUCCAAAAAAAAAAAAAAAAUGCAUCAUUCACACUUUUAACAUUCCAAUUCACUUCCUGACUAUGCUUGGUUUCAAAGGAAUGUCUAUUCCUGGGAAGGGAAGGGGCUAAGAAAAGAUGAUGAUACAGGUCUACUGUAAAUAGCCAGGCAGUCUCACAAUCUCACACACACACACACACACACACACACACACACACACACGCACAUAUCAUAAAUCAUAUACAUGAGAAGAAAUCAACAAGGAAGAAUUUUUGUGGUUUGGCAGAGAGGAAAUGAUAGAUGAGUACAAAGGUUCCUUCCAAUGAUAAUAUUCAAUAGCUGGUUAUAGACCUGAGUUCCCUAUGAAUAAUCCCCAAAAGAAAUUUUUUGAAAACCUGACCCAACAUGAGUGGCAUGCAAUAAUUCAAAGAUGAACUGAAAUAAACUAGAGGAUUGCCUAUUUCAUCACAAGCCCAGUCAGAACUCAACCAUAUCCAUUUUGUAGGUACACAGAUACCCUAUUCUUUAAAAAGGUAUUCGCCUUCAAAACACCUUCCCAGGAGACCUGAAUUAAGAAAGCGCAGGAGUUUGUGCUGUGAUGCAACGGGAUUGGUGGCGUCUCUGCAGGGCCAAGGACACAGGUUCAAUCCACAGCCCAGUGGAUUAAAGGUUCCAGCACAGCCACAGUUGCAGCAUAAAUUGUAACUGCAGCUCAGAUCUGAUCCCUGGCCCAGGAACUCCAUAUGCUGCAGGUCAGUCAAAAAAGUAAAUAAAUAAAAAAGAAAGAAAUUGCUAUAGCAACAUCUGUCCAUCCAUACUUUCCCGGAAUGAAGGUGAUCAUCUUCCCACAGAAAAAUAUUAUCAGAGAAUUAAGUAAUAAUUAAAUGAGUUAGAAUUUCACUGAUAAGCUUUAUAGUGUCUGAUAUAAAGUUACUCUCUACCAGUCAAGAUCUCUCUACUCCACGUCAUCUAAACAUACACUCCUCACCACCUGAGAGAUGUUCAACCAGCCACACAGGAAAAAGAAGAUGAACAUUAUAGGAAAGGCCAUGAAUGCAUUGCUAUAUAGCAUCAACUACCUUACUUUUUUUUUUUUUUUUUUCCAGGGCCGCACACGGCAACGCCAGAUGCUUAACCCACUGAGAGAGGCCAGGGAUAGAACCUGUAACCUCAUGGUUCCUAGUUGGAUUCGUUUCUGCUGCACCAUGACGGGAACUCCCUGAGCACAAUUUUAAGAGAGCAAAAGAGAUAUUUACCACUCUAAUACUCCAACAAUUUUUGCAUUUAAAGAUAAUUUCUGAGUUACUGUAUGACUACAACAUCUAAAUAGAUAUUCCUCUUUCCUAAGAUUCUUACUUCCCUGUAAGCAACUAGCCAUACCUUGCCCUUGACCUGAAUCUUACACUUUAGAAAUAAGUGGAAUAGCAGGAACAUGUAUAAGUAAAUGCAGGUUUUCUCAUUAGUUUAAACAUAUAUAUAAUGUCUCAAUCCUAGGAAGCACACUGGGAAAAUCCCAUACUUUAUGUCACUUUGCCAAGUGCAGGCUGGUACACCAUCUUCUCUGUAACUUUGAGAUGCAAUUAGAAUGUAAGGGGGAAAACUGCAUUCCAGUUUUCACUCCCCACUGGAAUAAUGCUGGUAACAGUAACUCACCAAAGAAGAUGGGCAGAAUUUGGUCCCUUUUAGCAAUCUCUGAAAACACAAAAGACAACUUAAUCUCGUUAAAACAAAUAAUUUUUCAUAUUUUACAAGUUUUUCUUUCUCGUUUUUCUCAAAAUGUGAGUUAAAAAAAAAAA
RNAcentral lists this long non-coding RNA (3194 nucleotides) under Sus scrofa (pig). Its description in RNAcentral is "lncRNA (ENSSSCG00025058875.1)". Lineage: Eukaryota; Metazoa; Chordata; Mammalia; Artiodactyla; Suidae. The record is from RNAcentral.